This 569-nucleotide ribosomal RNA is filed under the name uncultured bacterium. RNAcentral describes it as "partial 16S ribosomal RNA". It matches the Rfam family "Bacterial small subunit ribosomal RNA", at positions 355 to 914 of the family's 1533-position model. The record is from RNAcentral.
UGGGGAAUAUUGGACAAUGGGCGCAAGCCUGAUCCAGCCAUACCGCGUGGGUGAAGAAGGCCUUCGGGUUGUAAAGCCCUUUUGUUGGGAAAGAAAUCCAGCUGGUUAAUACCCGGUUGGGAUGACGGUACCCAAAGAAUAAGCACCGGCUAACUUCGUGCCAGCAGCCGCGGUAAUACGAAGGGUGCAAGCGUUACUCGGAAUUACUGGGCGUAAAGCGUGCGUAGGUGGUCGUUUAAGUCUGUUGUGAAAGCCCUGGGCUCAACCUGGGAACUGCAGUGGAAACUGGACGACUAGAGUGUGGUAGAGGGUAGCGGAAUUCCUGGUGUAGCAGUGAAAUGCGUAGAGAUCAGGAGGAACAUCCAUGGCGAAGGCAGCUACCUGGACCAACACUGACACUGAGGCACGAAAGCGUGGGGAGCAAACAGGAUUAGAUACCCUGGUAGUCCACGCCCUAAACGAUGCGAACUGGAUGUUGGGUGCAAUUUUGGCACGCAGUAUCGAAGCUAACGCGUUAAGUUCGCCGCCUGGGGAGUACGGUCGCAAGACUGAAACUCAAAGGAAUUGAC